Molecule: long non-coding RNA, 283 nt
Organism: Xenopus laevis (African clawed frog)
Lineage: Eukaryota; Metazoa; Chordata; Amphibia; Anura; Pipidae
Exons: 3
Source: RefSeq, a predicted model, not a curated record
GGUUUCUCAGAAAAGGAAAGGAAGGAAUAGCAUAAGGAUAGAACUCCACGGGCGAUUUUACCUGCGAUGCCUUCCGUUCUGACGCAAUGAGACUAAUCGCAGGUGUCACAUCGGAUGUGCCGAAACUAAUGUACAGAAAUAAGUAAAGAGGAAAAUGAGGGGGAAGUAUCAAGAAAGGGUUCAAAAAAGGAACUUGGAUAUUGCAGCUGAUAACAACAUUUCAGAGACACAGGUAUAAGGAGAAAGUAAACUGGAACAAGAUGGCAGCCAAAGGCUACAAAAA